GAUGAACGCUGGCGGCGUGCCUAAUACAUGCAAGUCGAGCGAACAGAUUAGGAGCUUUCUCCUCUGACGUUAGCGGCGGACGGGGUAGUAACACGUGGAUAACCUCCCUAUAAGACUGGGUUAACUUCGGGAAACCGGAGCUAAUACCGGAUAAUAUAUUGAACCGCAUGGUUCAAUAGUGAAAGACGGUUUUGCUGUCACUUAUAGAUGGAUCCGCGCUGCAUUAGCUAGUUGGUAAGGUAACGGCUUACCAAGGCAACGAUGCGUAGCCGACCUGAGAGGGUGAUCGGCCACACUGGAACUGAGACACGGUCCAGACUCCUACGGGAGGCAGCAGUAGGGAAUCUUCCGCAAUGGGCGAAAGCCUGACGGAGCAACACCGCGUGAGUGAUGAAGGUCUUCGGAUCGUAAAACUCUGUUAUUAGGGAAGAACAAAUGUGUAAGUAACUAUGCACGUCUUGACGGUACCUAAUCAGAAAGCCACGGCUAACUACGUG
Molecule: ribosomal RNA, 497 nt
Filed under: uncultured bacterium
Lineage: Bacteria
Description: partial 16S ribosomal RNA
Rfam family: Bacterial small subunit ribosomal RNA
Source: RNAcentral